Molecule: long non-coding RNA, 1424 nt
Organism: Dreissena polymorpha
Lineage: Eukaryota; Metazoa; Mollusca; Bivalvia; Myida; Dreissenidae
Exons: 3
Source: RefSeq, a predicted model, not a curated record
UAGUGAUGCGCGAAAUUACACAGAUGGUAAAAACCCAUGUGAUUAUUCACGAAGCUUACGCAGAUGUCUCAUAUAAAUAGGAGUAAACAGUCAAGCCGUGGUUAGAACCUGGUUAUGGUUUCACUCCCAGUACUCGGAUAAAGCUACGGAUGUGCGGAAAAAUCGACAGCGGUUCAGAGAAAACAUGAAAAGUGGACCAGAGGUUGAUGCCUGAUGUACGAUAGUUACCUGACAUUGCUGUCAGCUCCCCUGCCCCGUGCUACAAGUGAAGAAGUCCUGAAAUCCACACCUAAGACACCAUUAUUGUGGAGAGUUUGAGACGAGUGGCGAAUCCAAAACCUACCAGUCCAAGGGAACCUCAAACACCAAACAAAACAAACUGAUAGUCAUGGGUAAUGUAAUUGCCAAGGAUCCUGAUUUUUGGUGCUCUACCGACGAUCCGGGUCCAGAAAGACAUAACGCAGAUUGGAUGAAGAGAGUAUCUGAUUCUAAGUUUCUUUCAGAGUUGUCCAUUCCUGGCACACAUGAUACUAUGACUUGUUCUUAUAGUGGAGUAGAGGGACUAUGGGUUUGGUGUCAGAGUUGGUCAUUAGGCAUUCAGCUGAAUAUGGGAAUAAGAUUUCUUGACAUUCGAUGUCAAGCUUCCAAUGGUGAUAUGUUACUCAAUCACGGUGGCUAUUACCUUGGUACUCUGUUGGAUACAUUGAACGGCUGUGUCAACUUUCUUCAAACUCAGCCAAGUGAAUGCAUUAUCUUACGGAUUAAACAAGAAAACAGUAGUUUAGAAGGACUUGGGUUUAGGGAUGCGAUGUUUCCCUUCUUGGAGAGGUUUUCGGAUCAUAUAUUUUUCAAAACAUCAAUGCUAACCCUUGGCGAAGCAAGAGGGAAGAUGGUUAUUCUGGCAGACUAUGAUAUGGAUGGAAACGAUCAUAUCAUGAGGUAUGGAUGUGGAAUGUCCAUCUGUGACAACUGGGAACCCGACUCAAAAGAACAAAAAAUUGAUGGCAUUAAAGAUAACAUAAACAGCGCAUUCUCAGCUGUAAGGGAUAGAAAAGAAAUGUACAUCACUUUCACAAGCUAUACAUGGUUAGCGGAUUGCCCACGGGAGUUAGCACGUUCUGCAAAUCCUAUAGCGCAUGAUUUUGUCAGAAAUCACAUUGGUUGCCUUGGCAUUUUUGUCAUGGACUAUCCAGGAUUUCAAAUUAUUCGAGACAUUAUUGAUCACAACUGAAGGCUAAAUGUUAAUUAACCAUACACACAUACAUACACACUAUGCAUAUGCUUAUUAGUUUAUGUGAACUAUGUCUAUUCGGUAAUGUGAACUAGUUUUAAUAUCACAGGAAAAGUGUCAUACUGAUUGACAUUCAUGAAUACAUGUGCCUGUUUUUCUAAAUCAAAUGCAAAAUAUUAAACAUUGAAUUCUA